AAAAGCUUUUCACCAAAGAAGCUACAAAGGAAAGCUAGCAUUCUUUUCUUUAAGUUAUCCUUGCAGCCUGGAUGGGGGUGUGGAGGUGAGAGGUGGGGGAGGUGACCAGCUGAAUGACUCUAGGCAAACUACUUAGAUAGUUCUAGCCAAUUACUAGAGUUCUAGGCAACAGGAUGGAAGAGAAAGUCUACAGGACAGAUUUGCAAGAUAAUUUUGCUCUCUAUCAAAGGAUCAAUUUCAAGUGGUACCCUCCCUUCUUUUCUUGCUUUGACUAUGGGUAUGAUGUCCAGAACUACUGCAGGCAUUUAUCAACCAUAAGGUGAUGAGCAAAUUAGAAGCUGAAUCUUAUCCACAAUGGCCCUGGCAUCUUCAUGCUGAAGAAACACUGGCAGCACCCAUAUAUCAGGCUUCUUGCUGGUUGUACUGUGUGCCCCUGAUAUUUUCUUUUCUUUUUUUUUUUUUUUGCCUAACUGCAUGUAAGAAGGCUGACUCCAGCAGAGAAAAGCCUGUUAUUCAGAAGCUGGCUAAGGAACCACCUUACAUAAAUCUGAACUAUUCCAUAAUCUGCCACUUGG
This 575-nucleotide long non-coding RNA is filed under the name Mus caroli (Ryukyu mouse). RNAcentral describes it as "predicted gene 6270 (MGP_CAROLIEiJ_G0005004.1)". Lineage: Eukaryota; Metazoa; Chordata; Mammalia; Rodentia; Muridae. The record is from RNAcentral.